UAAAAAGUAAAUAAAAGUAAAAUGUAAAAAAAAAAAAAAAUACAAGCCGCUGGUUCAGAAAGGAAGACAAACGAAGAGAAUGAAAAAAAAAGUAUCACUGUUCAAAGGCAACGAAUCAAAACUGCAUCAAGGUCAAAUCACACUAACCAAAAAAAAAAAAAAUACAAGCCGCUGUUUCAGAAAGGAAGACAAACGAAGAGAAUGAAAAAGAAAAGCAUCAUCGGCAAUUCCAAAAAAGAGUUCGACGGCAACGAAUCAAAACGGCAUCAAGGUCAAAUCACACUAACCCCCAAAAAAAAAAAAAAAUACAAGCCGCUGGUUCAGAAAGGAAGACAAACGAAGCAAAUGAGAAAAAAAGUAUCACUGUUCAACGGCAACGAAUCAAAACGGCAUCAAGGUCAAAUCACACUAACCAAAAAAAAAAAAAAUACAACCUGCCAGUUCAGAAAGGAAGACAAACGAAGAGAAUGAGAAAAAAAGUAUCACUGUUCAACGGCAACGAAUCAAAACUGCAUCAAGGUCAAAUCACACUGACAGACAAAAAAAAAAAAAAAAUACAAGCCACCAGUUCAGAAAGGAAGAUGAACGAAAUAAAUAAAUAAAAAUAUAUCAUUGUAAGUUCCCAAAAAGAGUUCAACGGCGACAAAUCAAAACUGCAUCAAGGUCAAAUCACACUGACAAAAAAAAAAAAAUUCAAGCCGCCACAAAAAGGAGGAUGAACGAAAUAAAUAAAUAAAAAUAUAUCUGUAAAUUCCCAAAAAGAGUUCGACGGCAACGAAUCAAAACUGCAUCAAAGUCAAAUCACACUGACAAAAAAAAUAAAAAAAUAAAAAAUAAAAAAAUCAAGCCGCCAGUUCAGAAAGGAAGAUGAACAAAAUAAAUAAAAUAAAAAAUAUAUCAUCGUAAAUUCCCAAAAGAGUUCAACGGCGACAAAUCAAAACAGCAUCAAAGUCUAAUCACGCUAACAAAAACGUACUCAAAACAAAGCAGUGUGUGUUAUGAUCAAAGCGAGAUAUUUCCAGCAACUACGAAAGCCCCAAAGUCUUCUCCACAAGUGCCUAAACGUGAAGAUCUAAAAGCGAAUGCAAGACCCAGUUCCUUUCUUUACUGUCGCCAGAAGUCGCAGAAUAAGGAAAGGAUGUAACAUACGCCGAGUAAUAGAAUGACGGACUGACGGGUGUGUUUGUGUGGUGGGUAAUUGGUGAGGAAGCAAAAGGUGGAUGUGGGAAUAAAUAAGGAAAGUAAAAACAGUCAAUACAGGUUAGAAAUAAGAAAAGAUUGAUACGUAAAAGAAAGAAGGAAGGCCGAAGAUACAAAAUUUGACUCCUUACGUAUCCAGUAAGUCAUGAGUAUAGUCGUGAGUACGUAAAAGAAGAAAAACAAAUAACCAAGAAAGAUAUGAAUGAAUAACAAGAGGAAGAAGAUAAGCGAAUUUAUAGGAAUGAGAGAACGAAGAAGGGAGGUACAAAAAGUGGAUACAGAAGGAAAUGAAGAAAAAGAUGGAUGCAGGAAUAAAUAAGGAAGGUAAAAACAGAUGAUACAGAUUAUAAAUAAGAAAACGAUGGAUACACAUAAGAAAGAAGGAAGGAAAAAUAUUAGAUACAGAAGGAAAUGAAGAAAAAGAUGAAUGCAGGAAUAAAUAAGGAAGGAAAAAUAUUAGAUACAGAAGGAAAUGAAGGAAAAGAUGAAUGCAGGAAUAAAUAAGGAAGGUAAAAACAGUUGAUACAUACAAGGAAGAAGGAAGGAAAAAUAUCAGAUACAGAAGGAAAUAAGAAAACAAAGAAGGCAGUGGAAAUAAUUGAUACAGAUGGAAAUUAAGAAACAGUGAACAUAGUAAAGAAAAAAAGAUGGAAAUAAAGAAGAAGACCAAUAAAGAAAACAAUUAAAGACUAGCAAAUGGAAAGAGUAUAAAUGUGAAUGAAGGGAUGAAAAAUAUUAAGGAGAAUUGAUGAGGGGAAACACACGCCAUCGAAGAGAAGAAUCAUAUCAGGUUGAACAUUUGUGAGUGAUGUCUUGAGUUUUUACGUAUUGAGAGAAGCUGAGGAAGUGAAGCGUUACGUAAUGAAGAAAAACAGAAGAUGAAUUGAUGAGGAAAACACACACCAUUGAAGAGAAGAAUCAUAUCAGGAAGAUCAUUUGUGAGUGAUGUCUUGAGUUCUUACGUAUUGAGAGAAGCAGAGGAAGUGAAGCGUUACGUAAUGAAGAAAAACGGAAGAUGAAUUGAUGAGGAAAACACACCAUUGAAGAGAAGAAUCAUAUCAGGUUGAACAUUUGUGAGUGACGUUUGACUUUGUACGUAUUGAGAGAAGCGGAGGAAGUGAAGCAUUACGUAAUGAAGAAAAACAGAAGAAUUGACAAGGAAAAACACGGACACUAGCAAACAGAAGGAUCAGAUCAGGUUGGACUCUAGUAAUUGGUGUUAGAUCUCUUACAUAUUGAGGGAAGUUUAAGAAGUGAAGUGUUACGUAUUGACAAACAAGAUGAAUUGAUGAGGAAGCGCGGACACGAGCAAACAUAAGGAUCAGAUCAGGUUGAGCUCUAGUAACUGACAUUUGAUCUCGCAUGUAUUGAGAAAAGUGGAAGGAGUGAGGCGUUAUAUAACAAGAGUAACGGAGAGAGUAGUGAAGUGUUUCCAGAGCAGUUGAAAGAAUGAAGCGUAGUGACUAAAAAAUAAACAGGUGAAGGAACAAUGCACCAAAAACCUAAAUAUAAAAACUUCACUCCCCCCAAAAAAAAUAUAUAAGGUCAUUCGCUACUGACCUUACUGUGGACGGUUGACCUGACCUGACCUCCCCAACCUGUGUACUUACCCCUCACGUUGUUAGGACUAGGGGGGAGGCAUUUUGCGUGACGUUAUAUAUGCCGUACUUCUGAUUUCUCCCCCGUUUUAUAUCUGCAUACAUUAAGAAUAUAUAUAUAUACAUUAUCUUAUACAUAACUACGUGCGUAUACAUAUAUAUAUAAUAGGUAUACAGGGAGUCCUUGAGUCGCAACGGGGCUCGGGACUGACAGGGUGGUUGUUAAGUCACAUAUGUUGUAACUCGAGGAUUUCCUUUACAUAUACAAAGGAAACAUUGGUGCCAACAACACAUUUACCUUUCAUUUCCACGCCAGACACUUAGCUCCUGGCUGUUACAAUUACGUCUUAAGAAAAAAAGUAAUACACAUAGCCCGAGAUUUAUUUUCGUAAUAGCGUAACGGCGACAUAGCAGACCUCAGAGCACCUUGAAAGCGUAAAUAGUCGAAUACAACCUCCACGUCUUUGCUGGGAGUGCCGUACGUUGGUGUUUGUACGUUAUUCGCACGGAGGGACGGACAGGUAGAGGGUUUGUUUCUUUGCACCUUGCGUAAUGUUGGAUGUGAGGGGCGAGCAUUUUUUACGAGUUUACUAUGCAUGUGUUUAUGUGUCCUAAGCCGUAAUUAAUAUAAGUGACUCGGAAGAUGGUGUGCGUAAGCCGGCGAGAUGGGAGAAGGUGACAUGCAGAGGAUAAGGGGAAAAUGUUUGACAGGCAGAAAUUUUACAUAACCGGACCUCAGAAUAAGUACUCGAGAACGUCAACACAAUGAAAAUAACUUAAUCAAAAUGCAAAUAAAAAAUGGCAAAAAUAUUAAAGUUAAAUUCGUUAAAAGGCAGAAACAAAAUAAUGAUAAGAAGCGGAAUGAUAAGCAGAAAUUUCAUAUAACUGGACCUCAGAAUAAGUACUCGAGAACGUCAACAGAAUGAAAAUAACUUAAUCAAAAUGCAGAAAAAAAGACGCAAAAAUAUUAAAGUUAAAUUCGUUAAAAGGCAGAAACAAAAUAAUGAUAAGAAGCGGAAUGAUAAGCAGAAAUUUCGUAUAAUCGGAAGAAUAAGUAUGCAAGGAAUAUCAACCUGAAGAAUCCAGAAAAGAAAUGAAAACGGCGAAAUCAGACUAAUGCACAAAUCUGACCAGUAAUUGACGUUUCAUAACCUAGGUCUCGGAAACAGAGCGAGAAUUAAUAAAUGCAAAGAAUAAGGGAUUGAUAUAUUGCGAGACAGACAUGUAGGGAAAAUGAUUGAUGUUUCAUAACCUAGGUCUCAGAAACAGAGCGAGAAUUAAUAAAAGCAAAGAAUAAGGGAUUGAUAUAUUGCAAGACAGACAUGUAGGGAAGAUAAUUGACGUUUCAUAACCUAGGUCUCGGAAACAGAGGGAGAAUCACUAAAAGCAAAGAAUAAGGGAUUGAUAUAUUGCAAGACAGACAUGUAGGGAAAAUGAUUGACGUUUCAUAACCUAGGUCUUGGAAACAGAGCGAGAAUUAUUAAAAGCAAAGAAUAAGGCAUUGAUAUAUUGCAAGACGGACAUGUAGGGGAAAUGAUUGACGUUUCAUAAUCUUGGUCUCGGAAACAGAGCAAGUAUUAUUAAAAGCAAAGAAUAAGGGAUUGAUAUAUUGCAAGACAGACAUGUAGGGAAGAUAAUUGACGUUUCAUAUCCAAGGUCUCGGAAACAGAGGGAGGAUCACUAAAAGCAAAGAAUAAGGGAUUGAUAUAUUGCAAGACGGACAUGUAUGGAAAUAAUUGACGUUUCAUAACCCAGGUCUCGGAAACGGAGCAAGAAUCAAGAAAAAGAUCAACCACUAAACUAUGAUCAAACACCUGCAGCAAUACAUGUGGUAAAAGUUCCUUAAUCCGUCAAUCAGAGCCACGGAUCUCGGAGUAACAGACCAUUACCACACAUACACACAUGCAGCGUACCCGGCACAUCUCGGAAGCGUCGUUUGUUCGUAUGUGUGUAUAGCGUGCCAUCAUCAUCAUUGCGUCGGAAAGCCCUUUUUUUUGUCAUUCAUUUCUUAUUUAUUGUCAUGCAUAUGUUCCAGGUUCUCGUGUUUCCAGAGUGCGCUGUGUUGCUUCGCCUCGGUAGUGUUUGGUGGGUGUGGGGUUUUGUUGUCCAGGGUGGUGUGUGUCCGUGCCAAUAUGUACGCACGGUUCCAAUUAGUACUCGUCGGGAAGAAUCGUGAGGCGGUUCUUGUUCUGGUUCUUUUCUUGUUUUUUUAUUGUUAUUCUCGUUCUUGUUUAUUUUCGUUCUCGUUUUUUAUUUUCGUUCUUGUUUUAUUCUCGUUCUUUUUUAUUCUUGUUCUUUUUAUUUUUAUUCUUGUUCUUUUUAUUUUUAUUCUCGUUCUUGUUUUUAUUUUGCGUUCUUGUUUUUAUUCUUGUUCUUGUUUUAUUCCCUUACCUUACCUUACCUUACCUUACCUUACCUUACCUUACCUUACCUUACCUUACCUUACCUUACCUUACCUUACCUUA
Eriocheir sinensis (Chinese mitten crab) is the source of this 5263-nucleotide long non-coding RNA. RefSeq lists it as uncharacterized. The transcript is spliced from 4 exons. NCBI's taxonomy places the organism in Eukaryota, Metazoa, Arthropoda, Malacostraca, Decapoda, Varunidae. The record is from RefSeq and is a predicted model, not a curated record.